GGGGCGGUAGCUCAAUUGGCAGAGCGGUGGAUUGAAAAUCCACAUGUUGCUGGUUCGAUUCUAGCCUGCCCCACCA
RNAcentral lists this transfer RNA (76 nucleotides) under bacterium (Candidatus Torokbacteria) CG09_land_8_20_14_0_10_42_11. RNAcentral describes it as "tRNA-Phe". It matches the Rfam family "tRNA". From Rfam's summary of the family: Transfer RNA (tRNA) molecules are approximately 80 nucleotides in length. Their secondary structure includes four short double-helical elements and three loops (D, anti-codon, and T loops). The record is from RNAcentral.